CUAGGAUCAGUGAGGUGUUGUCUAGUGAUUACAGAGAAGUAACUUCAAUAGUGCACACAGACAUUUUGAUUUCAUCUAAAAUUGAAGACACGUCCCCGAGGAGAACCAUCAAAGACUCUGAGACACCUCGCCUCAGCCUGUCUCAUCUCGUCCUCAACCUGUCGGCCUGAAAUUUGCACCUUCAGGAUACAGUGACGCGAUGCAGAACAGUUUAACUCCUCUGGGGCAGCACAUGGGUGGCCAAUCAGAUUUCAAUGGGGGCCAGUGCCACCCCAGGACAUCCCUUUAGACACGCCCCUGGACUCAAGAUGAACAUCCAUCUGCAACAUCUGUGUGGGCCAAGAAAGUGGGAGAUGAACAGAGAGAUUAACAGUGACAAACAAACAACAAAAAUAAAUGGGGCACAAUCCUGUUCAAGCGGUCUACCCCCUCUAGCUGUUGACUUCUCUGUGUCCUGACCUCGAUU
Molecule: long non-coding RNA, 466 nt
Organism: Notolabrus celidotus (New Zealand spotty)
Lineage: Eukaryota; Metazoa; Chordata; Actinopteri; Labriformes; Labridae
Exons: 3
Source: RefSeq, a predicted model, not a curated record